This 253-nucleotide ribosomal RNA is filed under the name uncultured bacterium. RNAcentral's name for it is "partial 16S ribosomal RNA". It matches the Rfam family "Bacterial small subunit ribosomal RNA", at positions 524 to 776 of the family's 1533-position model. The record is from RNAcentral.
UACAGAGGGGGCAAGCGUUGUUCGGAAUUACUGGGCGUAAAGGGCUCGUAGGCGGUUUGUCGCGUCGGGAGUGAAAACCUCGGGCUUAACUCGGGGCUUGCUUUCGAUACGGGCAGACUGGAGGUAUGCAGGGGAGAACGGAAUUCCUGGUGUAGCGGUGAAAUGCGCAGAUAUCAGGAGGAACACCGGUGGCGAAGGCGGUUCUCUGGGCAUUACCUGACGCUGAGGAGCGAAAGUGUGGGGAGCGAACAGG